GCGCCCCGGUCCCCUCGGCCUCGCCCCGGCUCCCGGCCGUAGCUCUGAGCUGCGCCGCGCCCCCUUGCAGCUCUCCGGACUUUUCCGGUUGGACGACAGCCCUGAAACGCGUUGCUCCGGAGCUGUGUCCCCGGAGGCGGGGAGAGGAAGCGGCGAGGGAGAGACAGGGGGCGAGGAGAGGGCACCGAGCAGCGCCGAGGAGGAGCGCGCGGGCCUGCUAAACCUUAUAGUCCUGGCUGCCUCAUUGUCACCUCACCCUCCAUUGCCAGAUACACCCACGAGACCUCAGUAACGCACCCCGCCACGCCCGCCUCCCCACCCCCAAACUGUGACAAUCAAAACCGGCCUUGAGCCUGCCAAAGCCCCCUGCGGUGGGCCGGGACCCACUCAGCCGGGCGGCUGCAGCUCUCCCAACCCACGGAGAGAACGCGCACGCGCUGCUGUGUUCCCCCGUGGCUGGGACGUUUGCAUAUAGAUUUAUAAGUUUUUAAAUGUAUUUUAGUUAUUUUCAGGGGUUUUUGUUCUUUUAGUCUCACUAACUUUCACUUACUUUGAGGUUUCCAGUUAUCUAACUUUAAACCUUUAGUUACUUUUUAAAAAUAUUUUAAUUUAUUUGGUUUUCAUUUUUCAAUUAUUUAAAGUUAUUUUGUUUCAAGAGUCAC
RNAcentral lists this long non-coding RNA (662 nucleotides) under Fukomys damarensis (Damara mole-rat). Its description in RNAcentral is "lncRNA (ENSFDAG00000029572.1)". The record is from RNAcentral. Lineage: Eukaryota; Metazoa; Chordata; Mammalia; Rodentia; Bathyergidae.